Molecule: transfer RNA, 107 nt
Filed under: Pleodorina starrii
Lineage: Eukaryota; Viridiplantae; Chlorophyta; Chlorophyceae; Chlamydomonadales; Volvocaceae
Rfam family: tRNA
About the family: Transfer RNA (tRNA) molecules are approximately 80 nucleotides in length. Their secondary structure includes four short double-helical elements and three loops (D, anti-codon, and T loops). Further hydrogen bonds mediate the characteristic L-shaped molecular structure. tRNAs have two regions of fundamental functional importance: the anti-codon, which is responsible for specific mRNA codon recognition, and the 3' end, to which the tRNAs corresponding amino acid is attached (by aminoacyl-tRNA synthetases). tRNAs cope with the degeneracy of the genetic code in two manners: having more than one tRNA (with a specific anti-codon) for a particular amino acid; and 'wobble' base-pairing, i.e. permitting non-standard base-pairing at the 3rd anti-codon position.
Source: Rfam by way of RNAcentral
GACGAGGUGGCCGAGCGGUCUAAGGCGCUAGAUUCAGGGCUACCUGGAGUAAUUCAGGGAGAAACUUGUAGUCCGUAAGGGCGUAGGUUCAAAUCCCAUCCUCGUCA